GGAAGAUUAGUUAAAAAAUAACAUUAGAAUGUCAAACUAAAAUUACUAAUAAAAGUACCUUCCU
This 64-nucleotide transfer RNA is filed under the name Noteridae sp. MJTNT-2012. RNAcentral describes it as "tRNA-Asp". Lineage: Eukaryota; Metazoa; Arthropoda; Insecta; Coleoptera; Noteridae. The record is from RNAcentral.